AGACCCGAAACCCGGUGAUCUAGCCAUGGGCAGGUUGAAGGUUGGGUAACACUAACUGGAGGACCGAACCGACUAAUGUUGAAAAAUUAGCGGAUGACCUGUGGCUGGGGGUGAAAGGCCAAUCAAACCGGGAGAUAGCUGGUUCUCCCCGAAAGCUAUUUAGGUAGCGCCUCGUGAAUUCAUCUCCGGGGGUAGAGCACUGUUUCGGCUAGGGGGCCAUCCCGGCUUACCAACCCGAUGCAAACUGCGAAUACCGGAGAAUGUUAUCACGGGAGACACACGGCGGGUGCUAACGUCCGUCGUGAAGAGGGAAACAACCCAGACCGCCAGCUAAGGUCCCAAAGUCAUGGUUAAGUGGGAAACGAUGUGGGAAGGCCCAGACAGCCAGGAUGUUGGCUUAGAAGCAGCCAUCAUUUAAAGAAAGCGUAAUAGCUCACUGGUCGAGUCGGCCUGCGCGGAAGAUGUAACGGGGCUAAACCAUGCACCGAAGCUGCGGCAGCGAACGUAUCACCCAAGACAACUUUACGGAGUUGACGAUUGACGGAGCGAAGCGACGUCAAAGCGUUCAUUAAAGUCGAGUUGGCUUAGGGAUACGUUCGUUGGGUAGGGGAGCGUUCUGUAAGCCUGUGAAGGUGUGUCGUGAGGCAUGCUGGAGGUAUCAGAAGUGCGAAUGCUGACAUAAGUAACGAUAAAGCGGGUGAAAAGCCCGCUCGCCGGAAGACCAAGGGUUCCUGUCCAACGUUAAUCGGGGCAGGGUGAGUCGACCCCUAAGGCGAGGCCGAAAGGCGUAGUCGAUGGGAAACGGGUUAAUAUUCCCGUACUUGGUGUUACUGCGAAGGGGGGACGGAGAAGGCUAUGUUGGCCGGGCGACGGUUGUCCCGGUUUAAGCGUGUAGGUGUGUGUUCCAGGUAAAUCCGGUUCACUUUAACACUGAGGCGUGAUGACGAGGCACUACGGUGCUGAAGCAACAAAUGCCCUGCUUCCAGGAAAAGCCUCUAAGCAUCAGGUAACAUCAAAUCGUACCCCAAACCGACACAGGUGGUCAGGUAGAGAAUACCAAGGCGCUUGAGAGAACUCGGGUGAAGGAACUAGGCAAAAUGGUGCCGUAACUUCGGGAGAAGGCACGCUGACACGUAGGUGAAGUGAUUUACUCACGGAGCUGAAGUCAGUCGAAGA
Molecule: ribosomal RNA, 1176 nt
Filed under: Salmonella enterica
Lineage: Bacteria; Pseudomonadati; Pseudomonadota; Gammaproteobacteria; Enterobacterales; Enterobacteriaceae
Description: partial 23S ribosomal RNA
Rfam family: Bacterial large subunit ribosomal RNA
Source: RNAcentral